Molecule: long non-coding RNA, 1460 nt
Filed under: Helianthus annuus (common sunflower)
Lineage: Eukaryota; Viridiplantae; Streptophyta; Magnoliopsida; Asterales; Asteraceae
Source: RNAcentral
AUGAUGAUAAUUGAGUUGCUUGAACAAGGAACAAGAAUAGGAAUCACAUUAGCAAGGACUCGAAAACGGAAGGUUAACGGGUCAAGCAGAGGCGAGGAAACAAGCGUGAACACUAACGCUCGAGGUAAGUGACUUUCGAUUCACUUCUUAGUAUACAUAUAGAGUUUUCUUGUUAUGGUUGAAUGGGAUGAUUGAUGUAUAUAAAAUGGCCGACAAGUAGGUAUGUAUGAAUGCAUUUAGGAAAAUUACGUAAGUACAUGCACGUGUGAGCUAAGGUAUGCACGGGUGUAGUUAUGAUUCAUUUUAUGAAUGUAUGUAAGUAUGGAGUUAUGUAUGCAUGUAUGUAUAUAUGUAGGUAUUGGUGUAUGUAUGUACGUAAGUAGUUAUGUAUGAGCAUGAGCAUUAUGUAUUUGAAUAUGAAAGUACAUACGUGUGUAGGUACGAACGUAUAUAUAUAUGUGGAUGCAAGUAAGUAUGUAUGUAUGUAUGUAUGUAUGUAUGUGAGUAGGUAUGUGUGUAUGUAGUUAUGUAUGUAUGUAUGUAAAUACAUAUGCGAAGAUGUAAUCAUGUAUGUAUGUAAUUAGAUGCGUGGGUAUGCAAGUAAAGGUAUGUAUGUAUGUAGAUGUGUAUUAUGCGUAUGCGAAGAUACGUAGGUAUAUAUGAAUGUAUGUAGAGAAGUAGUAAUGCAUGCGCGAAUGUAGAUAUGGGGUUGGUAUAGAAGAAGGUACGUAUGAGUAUAUGCAGGUAUGUAGAAAUAUAGGAGGACAUGUACGUAUGUAGACGCAUAUGUAUACAUGUAAACAUGUACAUGUGCAUGAUUUAGAUACGUAGAAUUUUAACGUUACUAAUUAUGCGUUUGAGGUUGGUAUGUGAUGCAGGAACAAGUACACCGGAUUCUUACGAAACUUAAACCGAACCCGGAAUAAGAGGAUGAGAAAGAAUAAUUGGAUGAAUUAAUGUUAAAUUGACGAACGUUAUUCAAUCUUUAAUUACAUGAGAUUAAUGUUAUAUGAUGUUGCCUUUGACUAAUGGUUAAGCUGUAUGUGAUGCCCACAGGUGUUACACGGACUUCUUCUGCUGCUAUGGAAGUGAAGCGGACGUAGAUCGAGUCAAGAGCAAGGAUUGUACGGAUAGAUUGGUCACAUAGUUGAAGUAUAUAACGUUUGGAAAUCUAAAUUUUAGUAUGAAUGUUGUAAAAUUCUUUUAUAGUACGUUUAACAUUUUUAGGAUUUGGAUCCUUCGUGAAAGAAAUGUUGUUAAUACGAAAGAAAAUUUUAAAGCUCUUUUUCCGCUGCGUUAUUUUUAAGGUUAAACGUGUUAGGGUGUAACAAGUUGGUAUCAGAGCCCUGGUUUGAGAGAAUCAAGUACAAGAGGAUAGGUACUUGAACUCGAACCUGUGUGCUCUUAUGACAAGAAACCCGUACAAUCCGAGACUCGACCAAGAUCUAAAGGUAGAAGCA